CCUACGGGUGGCAGCAGUGGGGAAUAUUGGACAAUGGGGGGAACCCUGAUCCAGCCAUGCCGCGUGUGUGAAGAAGGCCCUCGGGUUGUAAAGCACUUUCAGUGAGGAAGAACGCCUGGUGGUUAAUACCCAUCAGGAAAGACAUCACUCACAGAAGAAGCACCGGCUAACUCCGUGCCAGCAGCCGCGGUAAUACGGAGGGUGCGAGCGUUAAUCGGAAUUACUGGGCGUAAAGCGCGCGUAGGUGGCUUGAUAAGCCGGUUGUGAAAGCCCCGGGCUCAACCUGGGAACGGCAUCCGGAACUGUCAAGCUAGAGAGCAGGAGAGGAAGGUAGAAUUCCCGGUGUAGCGGUGAAAUGCGUAGAGAUCGGGAGGAAUACCAGUGGCGAAGGCGGCCUUCUGGACUGACACUGACACUGAGGUGCGAAAGCGUGGGUAGCAAACAGGAUUAGAUACCCCUGUAGUC
RNAcentral lists this ribosomal RNA (465 nucleotides) under Vreelandella stevensii. Its description in RNAcentral is "partial 16S ribosomal RNA". It matches the Rfam family "Bacterial small subunit ribosomal RNA", at positions 338 to 795 of the family's 1533-position model. The record is from RNAcentral. Lineage: Bacteria; Pseudomonadati; Pseudomonadota; Gammaproteobacteria; Oceanospirillales; Halomonadaceae.